This 250-nucleotide ribosomal RNA is filed under the name uncultured bacterium. Its description in RNAcentral is "partial 16S ribosomal RNA". It matches the Rfam family "Bacterial small subunit ribosomal RNA", at positions 959 to 1209 of the family's 1533-position model. The record is from RNAcentral.
ACGCGUUGAACCUUACCAUCCUUUGACAUGGCAGGCUAACCAGAGAGAUUUGGUGUUCCCUUCGGGGACCUGCACACAGGUGCUGCAUGGCUGUCGUCAGCUCGUGUCGUGAGAUGUUGGGUUAAGUCCCGCAACGAGCGCAACCCACGUCCUUAGUUGCCAUCAUUGAGUUGGGCACUCUAGGGAGACUGCCGGUGAUAAGCCGCGAGGAAGGUGUGGAUGACGUCAAGUCCUCAUGGCCCUUACGGGA